UCCUACGGGAGGCAGCAGUGGGGAAUAUUGCACAAUGGGGGAAACCCUGAUGCAGCGACGCCGCGUGAGUGAAGAAGUAUUUCGGUACGUAAAGCUCUAUCAGCAGGGAAGAAAAAAAGUCCUUUGGACUUUGGACGGUACCUGACCAAGAAGCCCCGGCUAACUACGUGCCAGCAGCCGCGGUAAUACGUAGGGGGCAAGCGUUAUCCGGAUUUACUGGGUGUAAAGGGAGCGUAGACGGUAUGGCAAGUCUGAAGUGAAAGCCCAGGGCUUAACCCUGGGACUGCUUUGGAAACUGUUAGACU
RNAcentral lists this ribosomal RNA (305 nucleotides) under uncultured bacterium. Its description in RNAcentral is "bacterial SSU rRNA". It matches the Rfam family "Bacterial small subunit ribosomal RNA", at positions 337 to 642 of the family's 1533-position model. The record is from RNAcentral.